RNAcentral lists this ribosomal RNA (410 nucleotides) under uncultured bacterium. Its description in RNAcentral is "bacterial SSU rRNA". It matches the Rfam family "Bacterial small subunit ribosomal RNA", at positions 507 to 921 of the family's 1533-position model. The record is from RNAcentral.
GCCAGCAGCCGCGGUAAUACGUAGGGGGCAAGCGUUAUCCGGAAUCACUGGGCGUAAAGGGUGCGUAGGCGGCUGAUCAAGCCAGGGGUGAAAGGCAAUAGCUUAACUAUUGUGAGCCUUUGGAACUGGUCAGCUUGAGUGCAGGAGAGGAAAGCGGAAUUCCUAGUGUAGCGGUGAAAUGCGUAGAUAUUAGGAGGAACACCCGUGGCGAAGGCGGCUUUCUGGACUGUAACUGACGCUGAGGCACGAAAGCGUGGGGAGCAAACAGGAUUAGAUACCCUGGUAGUCCACGCUGUAAACGAUGAAUACUAGGUGUCGGGGGUCAAAGCCCGGUGCCGCAGCUAACGCAUUAAGUAUUCCGCCUGGGGAGUACGGUCGCAAGACUGAAACUCAAGGAAUUGACGGGGACC